GGUCAGGUGUGGUGUAGUGGUUUGAAUGUUGGGCUACAACUCCAGGGACCAGGUUUCGAAUCCCAGCUUGGCCA
Non-coding RNA from Phrynosoma platyrhinos (Desert horned lizard), 74 nucleotides. NCBI's taxonomy places the organism in Eukaryota, Metazoa, Chordata, Lepidosauria, Squamata, Phrynosomatidae. The record is from the annotation of a GenBank genome assembly.